GACAGAGGGGGCAAGCGUUGCUCGGAAUCACUGGGCGUAAAGGGCGCGUAGGCGGGAUGGCAAGUCAGUCGUGAAAUCUCUCGGCUCAACCGAGAAACGUCGGCUGAUACUGCCGUUCUUGAGGGAUGCAGAGGAGACUGGAAUUCCCGGUGUAGCGGUGAAAUGUGUAGAGAUCGGGAGGAACACCGGUGGCGAAGGCGGGUCUCUGGGCAUUUCCUGACGCUGAGGCGCGAAAGCGUAGGGAGCAAACGGG
This 253-nucleotide ribosomal RNA is filed under the name uncultured bacterium. Its description in RNAcentral is "partial 16S ribosomal RNA". It matches the Rfam family "Bacterial small subunit ribosomal RNA", at positions 524 to 776 of the family's 1533-position model. The record is from RNAcentral.